AACGAACGCUAUCGGUAUGCUUAACACAUGCAAGUCGGACGGACUAAUUAGGGCUUGCUCCAAUUAGUUAGUGGCAGACGGGUGAGUAACGCGUGGGAAUCUGCCCAUCAGUACGGAAUAACUUUUAGAAAUAAAAGCUAAUACCGUAUAUUCUCUACAGAGGAAAGAUUUAUCGCUGAUGGAUGAGCCCGCGUCAGAUUAGGUAGUUGGUGAGGUAACGGCUCACCAAGCCGACGAUCUGUAGCUGGUCUGAGAGGAUGAUCAGCCACACUGGGACUGAGACACGGCCCAGACUCCUACGGGAGGCAGCAGUGGGGAAUAUUGGACAAUGGGCGAAAGCCUGAUCCAGCAAUACCGAGUGAGUGAUAAAGGCCCUAGGGUUGUAAAGCUCUUUUAGCAAGGAAGAUAAUGACGUUACUUGCAGAAAAAGCCCCGGCUAACUCCGUG
Molecule: ribosomal RNA, 447 nt
Filed under: uncultured bacterium
Lineage: Bacteria
Description: partial 16S ribosomal RNA
Rfam family: Bacterial small subunit ribosomal RNA
Source: RNAcentral